GACACUGUUCGUGGUGAUUUGAGCCGACCGGCUUGCGGCCACGUUAAAUAAUCCGCUAAAAGGUCGUGCGCUCGGGCUU
This 79-nucleotide non-coding RNA is filed under the name Elstera litoralis. The record is from RNAcentral. Lineage: Bacteria; Pseudomonadati; Pseudomonadota; Alphaproteobacteria; Rhodospirillales; Rhodospirillaceae.